Tetranychus urticae (two-spotted spider mite) is the source of this 2281-nucleotide non-coding RNA. NCBI's taxonomy places the organism in Eukaryota, Metazoa, Arthropoda, Arachnida, Trombidiformes, Tetranychidae. The record is from RefSeq and is a predicted model, not a curated record.
UAUUGCUGAGAAUUCAUACUUGAUUGAACAGCAAAAAGCUCCAUUAGCCAAUAAAGGUAGCUCAAACAGGUAAAGUAAACAUCCAACUUGAGUUGAGGUAAAGGUGGACUACGCGGGAAAGAUUUUCUGUUGACUGUUGUCCUCUUUGACCAUCACGUUGACCAUUUUUAAUCUCCUCUUAAAAGAUCUUAUCUUUACCUUUAACUCUCGACAGUAAGGAGCCAGCUAUCUUUGGUCCUCAUCAGGUGUUUAAGUUUGUUUUUCCUUGUGAAUUUAGCCAAGUACUAACCAGCCACCUAAGUAAAAACCUGAUUUUACCUGCUUAACCAAAGAAAUAUUUCAAGAUGUAUUUUUGCAAAGCUUCAACCAACCUGACUAAGCCUUGUAUUUGAUCAAAUUUUUCAUAAACCGUUUGGACGCUUUGUUUUUUUCAUGUUUUCUAUAAUCAAUGGGUUAAUAUGGUUCAUUUAUUUUAACCAAAAUAGUGAAAUCAAAGUUAAUAUUAUUACCAUUUGGUUGAUAAAAUCUCAGAUGCUUAAAGUAACCUGCAGUAAAAUCUUUCGCUUCAUGAUAAACAAUCUGAUCAAUCUGAACAUGAAAAGUGGUAGUUUAGAUAAUGAUAUGGACUGUUGAAAAAAGAGAAAACAUUUAAAAGCUUUAACCGGUAUUAAUGAAUAAUUGAGUUUACGUCGCUACUAAGACAUGAUAGUUCCAUGUUCUUGAAUAAUACGAUUAGGGUUAUGUCGUAGUCUAUCAUUUAAACAUCAACCAAACAGUAUAAUAAGGUUGGUCAACAUUUUUUCACUGAAUAGAUUUUCAUCGACAUCGAAAUCCUCGAUUAGCUGAUUGACUGAAGUUUUGGAUGAAAAUGUACUGUAGAUCAAUUUGAUAAAAAAAUUACUGUUGACUUGCUGAUUAUCUUCGGUAAUUGAUUCAAAAAUGAACAUCAACCAGAAAUUCUGGACCAGAAUUUCAAAGCUUUUUUGUUCCGUUAACUAUUACGUCGAUUUAAAAUUGUGAACUAACGCCAUCUAAUGUUAAUUAUUUAACUGUUGACUCUAUUUUCAUCUGGUCUUAACCGUUAAUCUGGAUUCAAAUAAAAUAUUGCAUUAACCAUUUGAUUAAUUCAAUUAUCAAGGGCGAGUUUCGGUUGAUAAUUGAAGUAAGAAUUUGAUUAAUAAACAUUCCGAAGGCCGUAAAACUGUAGUAACAACCUCUUUAUCUUUGUUAAUUGUCUUUUUUAUUUGAUUUUUGUUUUGUUUUCAUUCUGCUUGUUUUAUAUGUUAUUGUAAUGUUAUGUGUAUUUUACAAUCAAUUGGGUCACUUUAAAUUGUCUUUAUAUUUUGUUAUAAUUGUAAGUAUUUUAUGAACAUUAUUAAGCUAAAUCAAGCAAAUAGGUGAUCAAUAAUCAACAAGUGCAACAACGCAAAAAAUGGAUAAAAAAAGUUUUCAGUCAACUAACGUUAGUCAACUUGGCAAAUUGACCUUACCUUAACAACUUGGAAUAACCUCUAAUUGCUUUUAUGCUGGAUAAUUAACACCAUUAUCCACUUGACGUUACGGAUAAAUGAGUAAUAAUUGGUAACCUUUAAACUUGAAAUUUUGAUCCCUGUAAAGCAAAAAAAGGCUGCAUUCGAUGAAAGGACACUUUGUAUUGGAUAGAGGUCUGAUCAUCAGUAUUUUCCCAAAUUCUGUUUUCACUUCAGAUUAUCAGACUAAUCAGGAGGAAAGGAAGCCAAUAGAAGGAAAAAGCAAACAGAUAGUAGGAGGUGAAAGUGAAAUGUUUCAGAAAACAACAGCCUCAGGAAAAGUAGAUGAUCAUUGAUGAUGAUAUCUGAUUUUAAGUUGACUACUCAUCUUUUGGGUAACAGUGAACAAGUGUUUAGCUGACGGGAAGAUAUUGUUAAUAAGAGCAAGUAAUCUUAAAAAUUACGGUUCAAUUAAGAUUAAAGUCUGUUUAUGAAAUAAUUUUAAGUCACAAAUUGAAAUGGGCCAGAUAAGGAUCAAGCCAAUUCAUCAACUUCUGUCACAAUGGAUGACUAAAACGAGAAUAACUUGGUUGUCAAAGGAAAUCUUAAAUCAGAAGAAAUCAAAAUUGAAAAAUAUUCCAUUAUUUCAUUGAUUUUGUGUUUUUCUGUAUUGAUUGGUCGUGAAUUAAAGCUUCAAAGGUGUUAUGCUUCAUGAGUGUCAAUUAUCAUGUACAAUGCACUUGUGUUACAAGCAAAUUUGUAAAUAGCAAAGCAGUAAUAGACAAUAGUGUAAUAAAAAACUACUGAAACUG